CCUACGGGAGGCUGCAGUGGGGAAUAUUGCACAAUGGGGGAAACCCUGAUGCAGCCAUGCCGCGUGUGUGAAGAAGGCCUUCGGGUUGUAAAGCACUUUCAGCGAGGAGGAAAGGGUGUAAGUUAAUACCUUACAUCUGUGACGUUACUCGCAGAAGAAGCACCGGCUAACUCCGUGCCAGCAGCCGCGGUAAUACGGAGGGUGCGAGCGUUAAUCGGAAUUACUGGGCGUAAAGCGUGCGCAGGCGGUUUGUUAAGCGAGAUGUGAAAGCCCCGGGCUCAACCUGGGAACCGCAUUUCGAACUGGCAAACUAGAGUCUUGUAGAGGGGGGUAGAAUUCCAGGUGUAGCGGUGAAAUGCGUAGAGAUCUGGAGGAAUACCGGUGGCGAAGGCGGCCCCCUGGACAAAGACUGACGCUCAGGCACGAAAGCGUGGGGAGCAAACAGGAUUAGAUACCCAAGUAGUC
This 465-nucleotide ribosomal RNA is filed under the name uncultured bacterium. Its description in RNAcentral is "bacterial SSU rRNA". It matches the Rfam family "Bacterial small subunit ribosomal RNA", at positions 338 to 795 of the family's 1533-position model. The record is from RNAcentral.